This is a long non-coding RNA of Etheostoma spectabile (orangethroat darter), 127 nucleotides long. RefSeq lists it as uncharacterized. The record is from RefSeq and is a predicted model, not a curated record. The transcript has 4 exons. Lineage: Eukaryota; Metazoa; Chordata; Actinopteri; Perciformes; Percidae.
GUUUCAGAAAGGGAUUUUAAACCUGAGAGAGAAGGGUAACUCCAGCCCGAUUCAGAAAGAGAGGUAACUUUACCUCAGAGUCAGUUACUAUGGUAACAGAGCCUGUGAACCUAACCUGGUCGGGAGC